Molecule: unclassified non-coding RNA, 520 nt
Filed under: uncultured Glomus
Lineage: Eukaryota; Fungi; Glomeromycota; Glomeromycetes; Glomerales; Glomeraceae
Description: SSU rRNA
Rfam family: Eukaryotic small subunit ribosomal RNA
Source: RNAcentral
AGCAGCCGCGGUAAUUCCAGCUCCAAUAGCGUAUAUUAAAGUUGCUGCAGUUAAAAAGCUCGUAGUUGAAUUUCGGGACUAAUAUGUCGGUCGUGCCUCGGUACGUACUGGCUUAUUGGUUUCUCCUUUCUGAAGAACCAUGAUGUCAUUUAUUUGGUGUCGUGGGGAAUCAGGACUGUUACUUUGAAAAAAUUUAGAGUGUUUAAAGCAGGCUCACGCUUGAAUACAUUAGCAUGGAAUAAUGAAAUAGGACGUUUGAUUCUAUUUUGUUGGUUUCUAGGAUCGACGUAAUGAUUAAUAGGGAUAGUUGGGGGCAUUAGUAUUCAAUUGUCAGAGGUGAAAUUCUUGGAUUUAUUGAAGACUAACUACUGCGAAAGCAUUUGCCAAGGAUGUUUUCAUUAAUCAAGAACGAAAGUUAGGGGAUCGAAGACGAUCAGAUACCGUCGUAGUCUUAACCAUAAACUAUGCCGACUAGGGAUCGGAUGAUGUUAAUUUUUUUAAUGACUCAUUCGGCGCCUUA